AUUGAACGCUGGCGGCAGGCCUAACACAUGCAAGUCGAGCGGAUGAAGGGAGCUUGCUCCUGGAUUCAGCGGCGGACGGGUGAGUAAUGCCUAGGAAUCUGCCUGGUAGUGGGGGAUAACGUCCGGAAACGGGCGCUAAUACCGCAUACGUCCUGAGGGAGAAAGUGGGGGAUCUUCGGACCUCACGCUAUCAGAUGAGCCUAGGUCGGAUUAGCUAGUUGGUGGGGUGAAGGCCUACCAAGGCGACGAUCCGUAACUGGUCUGAGAGGAUGAUCAGGCACACUGGAACUGAGACACGGUCCAGACUCCUACGGGAGGCAGCAGUGGGGAAUAUUGGACAAUGGGCGAAAGCCUGAUCCAGCCAUGCCGCGUGUGUGAAGAAGGUCUUCGGAUUGUAAAGCACUUUAAGUUGGGAGGAAGGGCAGUAAGUUAAUACCUUGCUGUUUUGACGUUACCAACAGAAUAAGCACCGGCUAACUUCGUG
RNAcentral lists this ribosomal RNA (484 nucleotides) under uncultured bacterium. RNAcentral's name for it is "partial 16S ribosomal RNA". It matches the Rfam family "Bacterial small subunit ribosomal RNA", at positions 30 to 507 of the family's 1533-position model. The record is from RNAcentral.